CGCCCCGCAAGGGGAGCGGCAGACGGGUGAGUAACGCGUGGGAACGUACCAUUUGCUACGGAAUAACUCAGGGAAACUUGUGCUAAUACCGUAUGAGCCCGAAAGGGGAAAGAUUUAUCGGCAAAUGAUCGGCCCGCGUUGGAUUAGCUAGUUGGUGGGGUAAAGGCCUACCAAGGCGACGAUCCAUAGCUGGUCUGAGAGGAUGAUCAGCCACACUGGGACUGAGACACGGCCCAGACUCCUACGGGAGGCAGCAGUGGGGAAUAUUGGACAAUGGGCGCAAGCCUGAUCCAGCCAUGCCGCGUGAGUGAUGAAGGCCCUAGGGUUGUAAAGCUCUUUCACCGGUGAAGAUAAUGACGGUAACCGGAGAAGAAGCCCCGGCUAACUUCGUGCCAGCAGCGGCGGUAAUA
RNAcentral lists this ribosomal RNA (410 nucleotides) under Brucella intermedia. RNAcentral describes it as "bacterial SSU rRNA". It matches the Rfam family "Bacterial small subunit ribosomal RNA", at positions 67 to 525 of the family's 1533-position model. The record is from RNAcentral. Lineage: Bacteria; Pseudomonadati; Pseudomonadota; Alphaproteobacteria; Hyphomicrobiales; Brucellaceae.